RNAcentral lists this long non-coding RNA (1188 nucleotides) under Apteryx haastii (Great spotted kiwi). Its description in RNAcentral is "lncRNA (ENSAHAG00000010274.1)". The record is from RNAcentral. Lineage: Eukaryota; Metazoa; Chordata; Aves; Apterygiformes; Apterygidae.
AUGGAUGCUCAGCCUCUUUUCAGGACAUCACUACCAACACAAGCCCUGAAGACAUUUCCUACGGUUCUCCACCAGGCAGAGGAGACAAGAAAUUGGCAGCAGAUGGAUUGGCUAGCAUUAGCCACUGCUGCUGUGCUGGUCAUCCAUUCUCUCUCAUUAACUCACCCAGAAGAAGGAGUUUUGACCCACUGGAGUCUUUAUGCUCUUUUUCUUCCCUUAUGUCUACUUUUUGCCAUUCCACUGAUAGACCUGGGCCAUAUGGCUGGAGGGAUCUUCCUAGCAGGGAAUUCCACCUCAUGUAGUGAGUUGCAUGUAGUAUGGAUGCCUGAACAGGCUCAAAGGAUCAUUGUUAAGAUGAACAUUGUUAAGGUAGGCAUAAGUAACAAAAUCACUGAGUUUGGACCCAAUGACCUCCUUUUCAAAUUGUGAAUUCUUCACUAAGCAUAACUCAACCUGAACUAAUAUUUAUGCAAUGUUUAAUCAACAAGCAAAACAAAAAAAGGAAACAUAAAAAAACCCAAGCUUAACCAAGAUUUGAGUUUGUUUACUCAGAUACAAAUUGAUAAAAGUCCAGCUUGGACAUAAAUAUCAGUUUCAUUAGAUCUUUUGCUUAAGGUGAUGGUCCUUGACCUGUCACAAGGAAUGUGACAGGUGAUGUUUUGAGAGGAAGUGGCAAUUGAUGAGGAUGCUUAGACUGUAAAUGUUGUAGCUCUCCCUCUUUAUUUAAUGAAAUAACUGUAAUCAUAGAAGGAAAAGCACACAAAUGUUUCACACAUAUGGCAAGCUUCAGCAGUCAAUAAGAUGAUCACAGAAUCGCCGAGGCUGGAAGGGACCUCUGGAGAUCAUCUAGUCCAACCCCCCUGCUCAAGCAGGGUCACCUAGAGCACAUUGCACAGGAUCGCGUCCAGGCAUGUUUUGAAUAUCUCCAGAGAAGGAGACUCCACAACCUCUCUGGGCAACCUGUUCCAGGGCUCUGUCACCCUCACAGUGAAAAAGUUUUUCCUCAUGUUCAGAUGGAACUGCCUGUGUUUCAGUUUGUGCCCGUUGCCUCGCAUCCUGUCGCUGGGCACCACUGAARAGAGUCUGGUCCCAUCCUCUUGACACCCUCCCUUCAGAUACUUGUACACAUUAAUAAGAUCCCCUCUCAGCCUUCUCUUCUCCAGGCUAAAGAGGCCCAGCUCUCUCAGC